UAAUACGGAGGUUCCUAGCGUUGUUCGGAAUUACUGGGCGUAAAGGGAGCGCAGGCGGACGGGUCAGUUUAAAGUGGAAUCCCAGGGCUCAACCCUGGACGUGCUUUGGAUACUGCCUGUCUUGAGUUCGUGAGAGGAAAGUGGAAUUCAGGGUGUAGCGGUGAAAUGCUUAGAUAUCCUGAGGAACACCAGUGGCGAAAGCGACUUUCUGGCACGAAACUGACGCUGAGGCUCGAAAGCAUGGGUAGCGAACGGG
RNAcentral lists this ribosomal RNA (256 nucleotides) under uncultured archaeon. Its description in RNAcentral is "partial 16S ribosomal RNA". It matches the Rfam family "Bacterial small subunit ribosomal RNA", at positions 521 to 776 of the family's 1533-position model. The record is from RNAcentral.